GUCCUCUAGGUGCAUUUCUUAGCCAGGGUGUGUAAUGACAGCUCUCUUUCCGAAUGUAUCCAUUUGCAUCCACUUCUUUAAAAUGAUUCUUUGUGGUAAUGCAGGUAUUCGUGAUAUUGAUAUCUAGAUCUAAAAAAUUUAUACUUUCCUCACUUAUUUGCGCCGUUAAAACAAUAUUCCAAUAAUUUUUAUUUAAAAAGGUGAUAAAAACAUCUAACUCUGUCCUAGUUCCCGUCCAGAUAAAAAAUAUAUCGUCCAUGAAACGACGAUAGCACACCAAGUCCGCUACCCAGGUAUGUCUCCCAUAUACAAACUUCUCUUCCCAAUAUGCCAUGAACAGGUUCGCAUAACUGGGAGCGAACUUGGUGCCCAUCGCCGU
Pelobates cultripes (western spadefoot toad) is the source of this 379-nucleotide non-coding RNA. The record is from the annotation of a GenBank genome assembly. Lineage: Eukaryota; Metazoa; Chordata; Amphibia; Anura; Pelobatidae.